Molecule: transfer RNA, 85 nt
Filed under: Planctomycetales bacterium 71-10
Lineage: Bacteria; Pseudomonadati; Planctomycetota; Planctomycetia; Planctomycetales
Description: tRNA-Leu
Rfam family: tRNA
About the family: Transfer RNA (tRNA) molecules are approximately 80 nucleotides in length. Their secondary structure includes four short double-helical elements and three loops (D, anti-codon, and T loops).
Source: RNAcentral
GCCGGCGUGGCGGAACGGCAGACGCUGGAGACUUAAAAUCUUCUGGGCGGGAACGCUCGUGUGGGUUCGAAUCCCACCGCCGGCA